GUCGCGAAUUUAAAGGAUCCCCUUUUUCUGUUUGUUCAGUAAGUGGAACCAAGGCUGACAGUAAAGAGUUACGGCAGUCCCAGUCCUACUGCACGGACACAGAAUGUCUUCAGGAAUUACCGGGACCCUCUGGUGAUAAUGGCAUCAGUGUUACAAUGAUCUUAGUGGCCUGGAUGGUUAUUGCAUUGAUCUUGUUCUUACUGAGACCUCCUAAUCUAAGAGGAUCCAACCUACCUGGAAAGCCAACCAGUCCUCAUAAUGGACAAGAUCCACCAGCUCCUCCUGUGGACUAACUUUGUGAUACGGGAAGUGAAAAUAGUUAACACCUUGCACGACCAAACGAACGAAGAUGACCAGAGUACUCUUAACCCCAUUAGAACUGUUUUUCCUUUUGUAUCCGCAAUAUGGGAUGGUAUUGUUUUCAUGAGCUUCUAGAAAUUUCACUUGCAAGUUUAUUUUUGCUUCCUGUGUUACUGCCAUUCCUAUUUACAGUAUAUUUGAGUGAAUGAUUAUAUUUUUAAAAAGUUACAUGGGGCUUUUUUGGUUGUCCUAAACUUACAAACAUUCCACUCAUUCUGUUUGUAACUGUGAUUAUAAUUUUUGUGAUAAUUUCUGGCCUGAUUGAAGGAAAUUU
RNAcentral lists this small RNA (634 nucleotides) under Pongo abelii (Sumatran orangutan). Its description in RNAcentral is "processed transcript". The record is from RNAcentral. Lineage: Eukaryota; Metazoa; Chordata; Mammalia; Primates; Hominidae.